This 301-nucleotide ribosomal RNA is filed under the name uncultured bacterium. RNAcentral's name for it is "partial 16S ribosomal RNA". It matches the Rfam family "Bacterial small subunit ribosomal RNA", at positions 509 to 808 of the family's 1533-position model. The record is from RNAcentral.
CAGUCGCCGCGGGAAUACGUAGGUCCCGAGCGUUGUCCGGAUUUAUUGGGCGUAAAGCGAGCGCAGGCGGUUAGAUAAGUCUGAAGUUAAAGGCUGUGGCUUAACCAUAGUACGCUUUGGAAACUGUUUAACUUGAGUGCAAGAGGGGAGAGUGGAAUUCCAUGUGUAGCGGUGAAAUGCGUAGAUAUAUGGAGGAACACCGGUGGCGAAAGCGGCUCUCUGGCUUGUAACUGACGCUGAGGCUCGAAAGCGUGGGGAGCAAACAGGAUUAGAUACCCGAGUAGUUCCUGUCUCUUAUACA